GGCCGUACAAGUGAAAUCUUCGGUGGGAUUUUUCUUUCCUCGGUACUAUUUUUGUCUCUUGAGAUCUUCUGUAUUAAUAAGGUGCCGCCCAUGUGCAAAUGUGCUACACUGCUGUACUAGGCUUUGCAUCUCUUUCAUACACUGUAAAUGUUUCUUCAGGGUCAUCUAAUGUUUUCGCACAAUGAGCUUGAGGUGGGGGAUGUCCUGAGUUAUAGGUCUGCAUAUCGUAUAUCUGUUGGCUUGUUGCUUUUUUCCAGCGGCAGCUGGAGCACUUAUCUGAGACUGUACUAGAUAUAUAGCUGCCAGGACCUUAUGGAACCAUAGAACACACAUACUUUUCAAGAAAUUCUUAAGGCAAGGUCAUGAUUGACACAUCACAGACCAAUUAAGACUUAGCAAAGAAUGUUAAGCUAGAGACUGGAAGAUGUCUCAAGAAUACUUUUGAUACACAUAUGGAGUAAAUAUGGUUUUUCCUUCUUUUCCUGAGUUUCUGGAUAUAACAGUUUUCUGUAGAUUAUGCAAGCUUUUCUCAUUGCUAUAUGUGAUAUUUAGGCAUUUUGGGUGCCUUGGAUUGUC
This is a long non-coding RNA of Quercus robur (English oak), 576 nucleotides long. RefSeq lists it as uncharacterized. The transcript has 3 exons. The record is from RefSeq and is a predicted model, not a curated record. Lineage: Eukaryota; Viridiplantae; Streptophyta; Magnoliopsida; Fagales; Fagaceae.